UACAGAGGGGGCAAGCGUUGUUCGGAAUUACUGGGCGUAAAGGGCGCGUAGGCGGCCUGCUAAGUCGAACGUGAAAUCCCCGGGCUCAACCCGGGAACUGCGUCCGAUACUGGCAGGCUUGAAUCCGGGAGAGGGAUGUGGAAUUCCAGGUGUAGCGGUGAAAUGCGUAGAUAUCAAGAGGAACACCUGAGGUGAAGACGGGUUGCUGGGCUGACACUGACGCUGAGGCGCGAAAGCCAGGGGAGCAAACGGG
RNAcentral lists this ribosomal RNA (253 nucleotides) under uncultured bacterium. RNAcentral's name for it is "partial 16S ribosomal RNA". It matches the Rfam family "Bacterial small subunit ribosomal RNA", at positions 524 to 776 of the family's 1533-position model. The record is from RNAcentral.